UACGUAGGGUGCGAGCGUUAAUCGGAAUUACUGGGCGUAAAGUGUGCGCAGGCGGCCGCGCAAGUCGAGUGUGAAAGCCCCGGGCUUAACUUGGGAAUUGCGCUCGAAACUACGUGGCUGGAGUGUGGCAGAGGAAGGUGGAAUUCCAGGUGUAGCGGUGAAAUGCGUAGAUAUCGGGAGGAACACCUGUGGCGAAGGCGGCGCUCUGGAACGUUUCUGACACUGAGGCUCGAAAGCGUGGGGAGCAAACAGG
This 253-nucleotide ribosomal RNA is filed under the name uncultured bacterium. RNAcentral describes it as "partial 16S ribosomal RNA". It matches the Rfam family "Bacterial small subunit ribosomal RNA", at positions 524 to 776 of the family's 1533-position model. The record is from RNAcentral.